GUAGGGAAUAUUGGACAAUGGGCGAAAGCCUGAUCCAGUCAUGCCGCGUGAUAGAUGAAGGCCCUCUGGGUUGUAAAUAUCUUUUAUCUGGGAAGAAACUCCUCUAUCCUUAGAGGCCUGACGGUACCAGAGGAAUAAGCACCGGCUAACUCCGUGCCAGCAGCCGCGGUAAUACGGAGGGUGCAAGCGUUAUCCGGAUUCACUGGGUUUAAAGGGUGCGUAGGCGGGUUGAUAAGUCAGUGGUGAAAGCUCCGGGCUUAACUUGGAAACUGCCAUUGAUACUGUCAGUCUUGAAUGUCGUAGAGGUAAGCGGAAUGUUGCAUGUAGCGGUGAAAUGCUUAGAUAUGUUACAGAACACCAAUUGCGAAGGCAGCUUACUAUGCGAUAAUUGACGCUGAGGCACGAAAGCGUGGGGAGCAAACAGGAUUAGAAACCCGGGUAGUCC
This 445-nucleotide ribosomal RNA is filed under the name uncultured bacterium. Its description in RNAcentral is "partial 16S ribosomal RNA". It matches the Rfam family "Bacterial small subunit ribosomal RNA", at positions 354 to 796 of the family's 1533-position model. The record is from RNAcentral.